Molecule: ribosomal RNA, 320 nt
Filed under: uncultured marine eukaryote
Lineage: Eukaryota
Description: SSU rRNA
Rfam family: Eukaryotic small subunit ribosomal RNA
Source: RNAcentral
AAAAAGCUCGUAGUUGGAUUUCUGCCGAGGACGACUGGUCCGCCCUCUGGGUGAGCAUCUAGUUCGGCCUGGGCAUCUUCUUGGAGAACGUAGCUGCACUUGACUGUGUGGUGCGGUAUCCAGGACUUUUACCUUGAGGAAAUUAGAGUGUUUCAAGCAGGCACACGCCUUGAAUACAUUAGCAUGGAAUAAUAAGAUAGGACCUCGGUUCUAUUUUGUUGGUUUCUAGAGCUGAGGUAAUGAUUAAUAGGGAUAGUUGGGGGCAUUCGUAUUUAACUGUCAGAGGUGAAAUUCUUGGAUUGUUAAAGACGGACUACUGC